Molecule: small nucleolar RNA, 128 nt
Organism: Podarcis muralis (Common wall lizard)
Lineage: Eukaryota; Metazoa; Chordata; Lepidosauria; Squamata; Lacertidae
Source: Ensembl
UUGCACUGUUCGUAACCUGUUGACAGCCUCUUCUGCUAAUGGGUUCCAUUCCAGUGCUACAGUAACACCCAGGAUGAGAAAAAGCAGGCAUUUUUUGCAUGUCUGUUAUCUCCGUUUUGGGGACACAU